Molecule: ribosomal RNA, 465 nt
Filed under: uncultured Klebsiella sp.
Lineage: Bacteria; Pseudomonadati; Pseudomonadota; Gammaproteobacteria; Enterobacterales; Enterobacteriaceae
Description: bacterial SSU rRNA
Rfam family: Bacterial small subunit ribosomal RNA
Source: RNAcentral
CCUACGGGGGGCAGCAGUGGGGAAUAUUGCACAAUGGGCGCAAGCCUGAUGCAGCCAUGCCGCGUGUGUGAAGAAGGCCUUCGGGUUGUAAAGCACUUUCAGCGGGGAGGAAGGCGUUAAGGUUAAUAACCUUGGCGAUUGACGUUACCCGCAGAAGAAGCACCGGCUAACUCCGUGCCAGCAGCCGCGGUAAUACGGAGGGUGCAAGCGUUAAUCGGAAUUACUGGGCGUAAAGCGCACGCAGGCGGUCUGUCAAGUCGGAUGUGAAAUCCCCGGGCUCAACCUGGGAACUGCAUUCGAAACUGGCAGGCUAGAGUCUUGUAGAGGGGGGUAGAAUUCCAGGUGUAGCGGUGAAAUACGUAGAGAUCUGGAGGAAUACCGGUGGCGAAGGCGGCCCCCUGGACAAAGACUGACGCUCAGGUGCGAAAGCGUGGGGAGCAAACAGGAUUAGAUACCCGGGUAGUC